Long non-coding RNA from Oncorhynchus kisutch (coho salmon), 190 nucleotides. RefSeq lists it as uncharacterized. The record is from RefSeq and is a predicted model, not a curated record. The transcript has 3 exons. NCBI's taxonomy places the organism in Eukaryota, Metazoa, Chordata, Actinopteri, Salmoniformes, Salmonidae.
CUGAGGACUGGAGGUUAGGACCAGGCUACUAUAUCCUGGCCUGGGGCUGAGGACUGGCGGUUAGGACCAGGCUACUAUAUCCUGGCCUGGGGCUGAGGACUGGAGGUUAGGACCAGGCUACUAUAUCCUGGCCUGGGGCUGAGGACUGGCGGUUAGGACCAGGCUACUAUAUCCUGGCCUGGGACUGGAG